This 253-nucleotide ribosomal RNA is filed under the name uncultured bacterium. Its description in RNAcentral is "partial 16S ribosomal RNA". It matches the Rfam family "Bacterial small subunit ribosomal RNA", at positions 524 to 776 of the family's 1533-position model. The record is from RNAcentral.
AACGUAGGAGCCAAGCGUUAUCCGAAUUCACUGGGCGUAAAGCGCGUGCAGGCGGCUGGGUAAGUUGGAUGUGAAAUCUCCUGGCUCAACUGGGAGAGGCCGUUCAAUACUACCUGGCUUGAGGGCGACAGAGGGGGGUGGAAUUCCGGGUGUAGUGGUGAAAUGCGUAGAUAUCCGGAGGAACACCAGAGGCGAAGGCGACCUCCUGGGUCGUACCUGACGCUGAGAUGCGAAAGCUAGGGGAGCAAACGGG